AGGGGAUUGGUGUAAUCGGUAGCACGACUGAUUCUGGUUCAGUUAGUUGGGGUUCGAGUCCCUAAUCCCCUG
This 72-nucleotide transfer RNA is filed under the name Phycisphaeraceae bacterium. RNAcentral describes it as "tRNA-Gln". It matches the Rfam family "tRNA". From Rfam's summary of the family: Transfer RNA (tRNA) molecules are approximately 80 nucleotides in length. Their secondary structure includes four short double-helical elements and three loops (D, anti-codon, and T loops). RNAcentral also lists the same sequence under 1 other name. The record is from RNAcentral. Lineage: Bacteria; Pseudomonadati; Planctomycetota; Phycisphaerae; Phycisphaerales; Phycisphaeraceae.